UACGUAGGGAGCAAGCGUUGUCCGGAAUCAUUGGGCGUAAAGCGCGCGUAGGCGACCCGAUAAGUCCGCUGUGAAAGUCAACGGCUCAACUGUUGGAUGCCGGUGGAUACUGUCGGGCUAGAGUACGGAAGAGGCAAGUGGAAUUCCUGGUGUAGCGGUGAAAUGCGCAGAUAUCAGGAAGAACACCUAUGGCGAAGGCAGCUCUCUGGGACGGUACUGACGCUGAGACGCGAAAGCGUGGGGAGCGAACAGG
RNAcentral lists this ribosomal RNA (253 nucleotides) under uncultured bacterium. Its description in RNAcentral is "partial 16S ribosomal RNA". It matches the Rfam family "Bacterial small subunit ribosomal RNA", at positions 524 to 776 of the family's 1533-position model. The record is from RNAcentral.